UUGCCCUACGGGAGGCAGCAGUAGGGAAUCUUCCACAAUGGGCGAAAGCCUGAUGGAGCAACGCCGCGUGGGUGAAGAAGGUCUUCGGAUCGUAAAACCCUGUUGUUAGAGAAGAAAGUGCGUGAGAGUAACUGUUCACGUUUCGACGGUAUCUAACCAGAAAGCCACGGCUAACUACGUGCCAGCAGCCGCGGUAAUACGUAGGUGGCAAGCGUUAUCCGGAUUUAUUGGGCGUAAAGGGAACGCAGGCGGUCUUUUAAUGCUGUUGUGGAAGCCUUCGGCUUAACCGGAGUA
Molecule: ribosomal RNA, 294 nt
Filed under: uncultured bacterium
Lineage: Bacteria
Description: partial 16S ribosomal RNA
Rfam family: Bacterial small subunit ribosomal RNA
Source: RNAcentral